UACGUAGGGUGCGAGCGUUAAUCGGAAUUACUGGGCGUAAAGCGUGCGCAGGCGGUUCGUUGUGUCUGCUGUGAAAUCCCCGGGCUCAACCUGGGAAUGGCAGUGGAAACUGGCGAGCUUGAGUGUGGCAGAGGGGGGUGGAAUUCCGCGUGUAGCAGUGAAAUGCGUAGAGAUGCGGAGGAACACCGAUGGCGAAGGCAACCCCCUGGGCUGACACUGACGCUCAGGCACGAAAGCGUGGGGAGCAAACAGG
Molecule: ribosomal RNA, 253 nt
Filed under: uncultured bacterium
Lineage: Bacteria
Also listed under: 1 other name
Description: partial 16S ribosomal RNA
Rfam family: Bacterial small subunit ribosomal RNA
Source: RNAcentral